This 531-nucleotide ribosomal RNA is filed under the name Triticum aestivum (bread wheat). RNAcentral's name for it is "partial small subunit ribosomal RNA". Lineage: Eukaryota; Viridiplantae; Streptophyta; Magnoliopsida; Poales; Poaceae. The record is from RNAcentral.
AUGGCCGUCCCGACCCCCUGCUGCCUCGAGCGCCCGCGCAGGACCUCGUCGGACCACCAAGCGCCAACCUCCCGAGGAGCUCUCGUCGCAGCUGCAGUUCACUCGCGUCGCCGCCAACUCCCUCUGCCUCGAACGCUCGCCCGCCUCCAGCGCCCUCCUGGCCCCGUCCCGCGCCGUGGCCCAGCUCCUCCGCCGGCCUCCACUGCCAGCGCCAUGCGCGCUACCCCUCCUGCUGCCGUGCUGCUCUGUUCUGUCGAAGACAGCGAGCGCCCGCAGCUUCCUGCUCGCCUGGAUCGACCCAAUCCGGAUCGAUCUGGCCCGCUUGGGCCUCAUCCACAACCGCGCCAGCCCAACGCCCCCCUCCUGCUACCUCUCCACAGUUCUGGGCAAGGACCAUGUCCCCGUUUCGUUGCGACUGUGAUGAUUCGUUCGACUACGUGGGAUCAUCUUUACCAUGGACACGUUCUUCUUCCUAGCGCGAUUCCAGGUGCCGAGGAUACCAGUGCAAGUGACGCAACCCAGCUCACGUGA